UCUUUUUUAGGGUUUUAUGAUGUAUAUGUUUUUCUUAUUAUUUGUUCUACUGUUGUUAAAAAGUUUCCUUGACGUACUUUUAACGAUCAUAGUGGCGUUUGCGAGAUUCUUACACUUGCCACCCUGCUUGUAAUACUUGUUUGGGGUUUUGGGUUUAUAUUUUGUCUAUUUUUGACAAUACAUUUUAUGUGGAAUUUUAGCUAGGAUGUUUUCGUAUCUGCGAUUUUUUAGCUUUACACAAUUUAGGCUUUGUUUAAGUAGUGAGUAGUCAUUUGGAUCGUGUAAUACGGUACGGAAUUAUGUGCUGAUGUCAAGCUCAGAUGAUAUUUGUUACGGUAUUUUAUAUGGGAAAAAAUGUUGGCUUAUAAAAUAAUAGUAGGUUGUUCUGUUUCCUGUACGGAUAAGGGCUGAUUACGAUUUUAGUGCCCGGAUCUUAUCUUUGGCGGGCUUCAUUCCAAAUAAUAGCGUAGUGAAAUUGCCUCAGUUUGAAAUAGAAGAUAAAUCCAUUGUUUAUUUCCUUGAAACUGUCAUAUUUCUUUUUCAGUUUCACGGUCCUUGUGUUUUGGAUGAAGAAUUUGAAUUCUAAAAAAUGCUAGUGAUGCUUGUUUAAUAUGGCAAUGCAUUUUAUUUAUGUACGAGAGGUUUUAGAAAUCCUUUGAUUUUACUCUUCUCCUUUAAAUUUGAAACCCUUUGUUUAUAUCUUCACGAAAAAGAUUAUAAUCUAUUGGUAUUUCUCACCUAAAGUUGGACGCAAUAUUUCACCAAACUCAAUUUCUGUUGGGUCCAUGUAUCUCUCACCCAGCGAGUAGGAUGCUGUAAUUUUAUCCGAUUUAAAGCAAUUUAUGUUUUGGUAUUUUACCUAGUUUGGAUCUUUCUCACAAACUCUGGGGAAGCUUCAGCUCGUACUGUUCAACUUAUAAUACCCUUUGAAUUGUCCACCUUUUGAACUCAUUCCAUAUUGACUUAGAUCUCGAGUCUCGACCUACCGCAAUCUUAGGGGCAUGUAGGAUCUACAUUGGUUAUUGAUUUUAAUCUAUAAUAUCCGUGGAGAGAUCUGUUUCUACUCAUCUACUUAAAUUAAACUACAAAAGUGCAAGCAUUUGAUAUGCUUCCAUUCAGGCUAGAGGAACUAUUUAGAACUUUAGACUAUACAUCCUAAGGAAACAACGAAGAAAAGAGUGCCUUCAUGAUGAUCAUCUGGAAUACGGAGGAGGUGAUAGAUAUCAAUUUGAAUUAUUUAAAUUUUGAAAUGUUGUAUACUAAUUCGAUACCAAUUUGUCAAACUCAAAUGUUCUAAUAGAUAUUUAUCGUUCAA
Molecule: long non-coding RNA, 1315 nt
Organism: Cryptomeria japonica (Japanese cedar)
Lineage: Eukaryota; Viridiplantae; Streptophyta; Pinopsida; Cupressales; Cupressaceae
Exons: 2
Source: RefSeq, a predicted model, not a curated record